RNAcentral lists this long non-coding RNA (239 nucleotides) under Vigna radiata. RNAcentral describes it as "long non-coding RNA (VRAD_LNC011361)". The record is from RNAcentral. Lineage: Eukaryota; Viridiplantae; Streptophyta; Magnoliopsida; Fabales; Fabaceae.
GGUUUGGUUUUGGUGCAACCGGAGUCCCGAACACCGAUGAAGACAACUUUGAGGAUGCUGACGAUGAGAGUCAGGAGGACUCUGAUGAUAGCAUGGGCCGAUUGCAGACAUCUAUUGAGGGAUGUCAUAGACAGGAUUUUCAUUUUUCUUUCUUUUAUCUUUUAUUUUUUUUACUUUUUAAAUUGUUAGAAUAGGUUGAAUUUUAUUUUAGUGUGCACUCUUGGCUUGAACACUUUUUC